ACUCUCCAGAUUCCUUAUUCAUCAGACCUACACACUGGUCUGGGUAGUUACAAAAGAAGGAAAGUAAAAUUGAAACUGACUUACAUUCUUCUGUUCCAAGCCUAUUUCAAACAAAU
RNAcentral lists this small nucleolar RNA (116 nucleotides) under Echinops telfairi (small Madagascar hedgehog). Its description in RNAcentral is "Small nucleolar RNA SNORA61 (ENSETEG00000024814.1)". Lineage: Eukaryota; Metazoa; Chordata; Mammalia; Afrosoricida; Tenrecidae. The record is from RNAcentral.